GACGAACGCUGGCGGCGUGCUUAAUACAUGCAAGUGGAGCGACGAACCAGGCUUCGGCCUGGGGCAGAGCCGCGAACGGGUGAGUAACACGUGGGUAACCUGCCUCGAUGACCGGGACAACCCGGGGAAACCCGGGCUAAUACCGGAUGUGCUGUCCCCACAUCAGUGGAGACAGGAAAGGAAGCUUCGGCCUCCGCAUCGAGAUGGGCCCGCGGCCCAUUAGCUUGUUGGUGUGGUAACGGCUCACCAAGGCUGCGAUGGGUAGCUGGUCUGAGAGGACGAUCAGCCACACUGGGACUGAGACACGGCCCAGACUCCUACGGGAGGCAGCAGUAGGGAAUCUUGCGCAAUGCGCGAAAGCGUGACGCAGCAACGCCGCGUGGGGGAAGAAGGCCU
RNAcentral lists this ribosomal RNA (396 nucleotides) under uncultured bacterium. RNAcentral's name for it is "bacterial SSU rRNA". It matches the Rfam family "Bacterial small subunit ribosomal RNA", at positions 28 to 417 of the family's 1533-position model. The record is from RNAcentral.